Molecule: transfer RNA, 73 nt
Filed under: Escherichia coli
Lineage: Bacteria; Pseudomonadati; Pseudomonadota; Gammaproteobacteria; Enterobacterales; Enterobacteriaceae
Description: tRNA-Gln
Source: RNAcentral
GGGGCUAUAGCUCAGCUGGGAGAGCGCCUGCUUUGCGCAGGAGGUCUGCGGUUCGAUCCGCAUAGCUCCACCA